AUUGAACGCUGGCGGAAUGCUUUACACAUGCAAGUCGAGCGAGAUUUUGAGGAGUAGAGACUUCGGUCAAAGCGAGUCAAAUGAAAGCGGCGGACGGGUGAGUAACGCGUGAGCAAUCUGCCCCAUACAAAGGGAUACCCACUGGAAACGGUGAUUAAUACCUUAUAAGACCACAGAGUUGCAUGGCUCAGGGGUCAAAGAUUUAUCGGUAUGGGAUGAGCUCGCGUCUGAUUAGCUAGUUGGUAAGGUAAUGGCUUACCAAGGCGACGCUCAGUAGGCGACCUGAGAGGGUGAUCGGCCACACUGGAACGAAGACACGGUCCAGACUCCUACGGGAGGCAGCAGUGGGGAAUAUUGCACAAUGGGCGCAAGCCUGAUGCAGCAACGCCGCGUGAGUGAUGAAGGCCUUCGGGUUGUAAAACUCUGUACUAUGGGAAGAAACAAAUGACGGUACCAUGGGAGGAAGCCCCGGCUAACUACGUGCCAGCCGCCGCGGUAA
Molecule: ribosomal RNA, 499 nt
Filed under: uncultured bacterium
Lineage: Bacteria
Description: partial 16S ribosomal RNA
Rfam family: Bacterial small subunit ribosomal RNA
Source: RNAcentral